UACGUAGGGUGCGAGCGUUAAUCGGAAUUACUGGGCGUAAAGCGUGCGUAGGCGGUCCGCAAAGUCUGAUGUGAAAGCCCCGGGCUCAACCUGGGAACUGCAUUGGAAACUAACGGGCUCGAGUGUGGCAGAGGGGGGUGGAAUUCCACGUGUAGCAGUGAAAUGCGUAGAGAUGUGGAGGAACACCGAUGGCGAAGGCAGCCCCCUGGGCCAGCACUGACGCUCAUGCACGAAAGCGUGGGGAGCAAACAGG
RNAcentral lists this ribosomal RNA (253 nucleotides) under uncultured bacterium. RNAcentral describes it as "partial 16S ribosomal RNA". It matches the Rfam family "Bacterial small subunit ribosomal RNA", at positions 524 to 776 of the family's 1533-position model. The record is from RNAcentral.